UACGGAGGGGGCAAGCGUUGUUCGGAAUCAUUGGGCGUAAAGGGCGCGUAGGCGGCCGGCCAAGUCGGGUGUGAAAUCCCUCGGCUCAACCGAGGAACUGCACUCGAUACUGGCUGGCUAGAGUCCGGGAGGGGAUGGUGGAAUUCCCAGUGUAGCGGUGAAAUGCGUAGAUAUUGGGAAGAACACCGGUGGCGAAGGCGGCCAUCUGGACCGGAACUGACGCUGAGGCGCGAAAGCCAGGGGAGCGAAUGGG
This 253-nucleotide ribosomal RNA is filed under the name uncultured bacterium. RNAcentral describes it as "partial 16S ribosomal RNA". It matches the Rfam family "Bacterial small subunit ribosomal RNA", at positions 524 to 776 of the family's 1533-position model. The record is from RNAcentral.